UACGGGGGGGGCAAGCGUUGUUCGGAAUUACUGGGCGUAAAGGGCUCGUAGGCGGCCAACUAAGUCGGAUGUGAAAUCCCCAGGCUUAACCUGGGAACUGCAUCCGAUACUGGAUGGCUUGAAUCCGGGAGAGGGAUGCAGAAUUCCAGGUGUAGCGGUGAAAUGCGCAGAUAUCAGGAGGAACACCGGUGGCGAAGGCGGUUCUCUGGGCAGUAACUGACGCUGAGGAGCGAAAGCGUGGGGAGCGAACAGG
This 253-nucleotide ribosomal RNA is filed under the name uncultured bacterium. RNAcentral describes it as "partial 16S ribosomal RNA". It matches the Rfam family "Bacterial small subunit ribosomal RNA", at positions 524 to 776 of the family's 1533-position model. The record is from RNAcentral.